GUAUGACAGGUGCUGUUCGGUCGGCGCAUUAAUAUUCAAAUUAACCGUUAGCUUCUCAGCCACAAUUUCAGCUAAUUCGUCAGGAUGCAGGCUACGGGGAAUUGUCAGCUCUUGUCCCGCUAGCUGUUGCCGUGGUGACCGGUGUGGAGAUAAUAGCAGUUAAUGAGAUAUUAACCCCGAAUAAGGAAGAAGACAGGAAGUGAUGAGCGUUUGCUGGAAAGACUAAAGACAGGAUUCGUCAAUGGAUGACCCCUUCCAGAUCAAUAUUGUUCUGUUAUUCGGCGUAGGUAACAAGCAGCGCGACCCCGUCCCUUUGAGACUGAGGAGAUCUAUUCUUGUAAUCAUAAAGCACUCAAGAUGAGAGAUGGAAAAUGGAGACAAAAAGGGAAUGAAAUGAGAAAAGUAGAAGAAUUAGAGACAAAACAAAAGACAAGGUGAGGGGAAAUUGCCAAAAAGAGCACAAAGACAGAUUGGUUGAUAGUUGCAGUUG
RNAcentral lists this long non-coding RNA (490 nucleotides) under Sparus aurata (gilthead seabream). RNAcentral describes it as "lncRNA (ENSSAUG00010001034.1)". Lineage: Eukaryota; Metazoa; Chordata; Actinopteri; Spariformes; Sparidae. The record is from RNAcentral.